Molecule: ribosomal RNA, 507 nt
Filed under: uncultured bacterium
Lineage: Bacteria
Description: partial 16S ribosomal RNA
Rfam family: Bacterial small subunit ribosomal RNA
Source: RNAcentral
GACGAACGCUGGCGGCGUGCCUAAUACAUGCAAGUCGAACGCAUUUUCUUUCACCGUAGCUUGCUACACCGAAAGAAAAUGAGUGGCGAACGGGUGAGUAACACGUGGGUAACCUGCCCAUCAGCGGGGGAUAACACUUGGAAACAGGUGCUAAUACCGCAUAAUUCCAUUUACCGCAUGGUAGAUGGCUGAAAGGCGCUUUUGCGUCACUGAUGGAUGGACCCGCGGUGCAUUAGCUAGUUGGUGGGGUAACGGCCUACCAAGGCUGCGAUGCAUAGCCGACCUGGGAGGGUGAUCGGCCACACUGGGACUGAGACACGGCCCAGACUCCUACGGGAGGCAGCAGUAGGGAAUCUUCGGCAAUGGACGCAAGUCUGACCGAGCAACGCCGCGUGAGUGAAGAAGGUUUUCGGAUCGUAAAACUCUGUUGUUAGAGAAGAACAAGGAUGAGAGUGGAAAGUUCAUCCCUUGACGGUAUCUAACCAGAAAGCCACGGCUAACUACGUG